AACGAACGCUGGCGGCAUGCCUAACACAUGCAAGUCGAACGAAGCCUUCGGGCUUAGUGGCGCACGGGUGCGUAACGCGUGGGAAUCUGCCCCUUGCUUCGGAAUAACAGUUAGAAAUGACUGCUAAUACCGGAUGAAGUCUUCGGACCAAAGAUUUAUCGGCAAGGGAUGAGCCCGCGUAGGAUUAGGUAGUUGGUGGGGUAAAGGCCUACCAAGCCGACGAUCCUUAGCUGGUCUGAGAGGAUGAUCAGCCACACUGGGACUGAGACACGGCCCAGACUCCUACGGGAGGCAGCAGUGGGGAAUAUUGGAUAAUGGACGCAAGUCUGAUCCAGCAAUGCCGCGUGAGUGAUGAAGGCCUUAGGGUUGUAAAGCUCUUUUACCAGGGAUGAUAAUGACAGUACCUGGAGAAUAAGCUCCGGCUAACUCCGUG
Molecule: ribosomal RNA, 433 nt
Filed under: uncultured bacterium
Lineage: Bacteria
Description: partial 16S ribosomal RNA
Rfam family: Bacterial small subunit ribosomal RNA
Source: RNAcentral